UAGGGAAUCUUCCGCAAUGGGCGAAAGCCUGACGGAGCAACGCCGCGUGAGUGAUGAAGGUCUUCGGAUUGUAAAACUCUGUUAUUAGGGAAGAACAUAUGUGUAAGUAACUGUGCACAUCUUGACGGUACCUAAUCAGAAAGCCACGGCUAACUACGUGCCAGCAGCCGCGGUAAUACGUAGGUGGCAAGCGUUAUCCGGAAUUAUUGGGCGUAAAGCGCGCGUAGGCGGUUUUUUAAGUCUGAUGUGAAAGCCCACGGCUCAACCGUGGAGGGUCAUUGGAAACUGGAAAACUUGAGUGCAGAAGAGGAAAGUGGAAUUCCAUGUGUAGCGGUGAAAUGCGCAGAGAUAUGGAGGAACACCAGUGGCGAAGGCGACUUUCUGGUCUGUAACUGACGCUGAUGUGCGAAAGCGUGGGGAUCAAACAGGAUUAGAUACCCUGGUAGUCCACGCCGUAAACGAUGAGUGCUAAGUGUUAGGGGGUUCCCGCCCCUUAGUGCUGCAGCUAACGCAUUAAGCACUCCGCCUGGGGAGUACGACCGCAAGGUUG
RNAcentral lists this ribosomal RNA (550 nucleotides) under uncultured bacterium. Its description in RNAcentral is "bacterial SSU rRNA". It matches the Rfam family "Bacterial small subunit ribosomal RNA", at positions 355 to 896 of the family's 1533-position model. The record is from RNAcentral.